RNAcentral lists this transfer RNA (72 nucleotides) under Ictidomys tridecemlineatus (thirteen-lined ground squirrel). RNAcentral's name for it is "Spermophilus tridecemlineatus (thirteen-lined ground squirrel) tRNA". It matches the Rfam family "tRNA". From Rfam's summary of the family: Transfer RNA (tRNA) molecules are approximately 80 nucleotides in length. Their secondary structure includes four short double-helical elements and three loops (D, anti-codon, and T loops). The record is from Rfam by way of RNAcentral. Lineage: Eukaryota; Metazoa; Chordata; Mammalia; Rodentia; Sciuridae.
AGUGUUGUAGCUCAAUGGUUGAGUGCUUGCCUCACACGCAUGAGGCACUGGGUUUGAUCCUCAGCACUACGU